Molecule: ribosomal RNA, 371 nt
Filed under: uncultured organism
Description: partial 16S ribosomal RNA
Rfam family: Bacterial small subunit ribosomal RNA
Source: RNAcentral
GUAGGUGGCAAGCGCUGUCCGGAAUUAUUGGGCGUAAAGCGCGCGCAGGCGGUUCUUUAAGUCUGAUGUGAAAGCCCACGGCUCAACCGUGGAGGGUCAUUGGGAACUGGAGAACUUGAGUACAGAAGAGGAAAGCGGAAUUCCACGUGUAGCGGUGAAAUGCGUAGAGAUGUGGAGGAACACCAGUGGCGAAGGCGGCUUUCUGGUCUGUAACUGACGCUGAGGCGCGAAAGCGUGGGGGAGCAAACAGGAUUAGAUACCCUGGUAGUCCACGCCGUAAACGAUGAGUGCUAAGUGUUAGGGGGUUUCCGCCCCUUAGUGCUGCAGCUAACGCAUUAAGCACUCCGCCUGGGAGUACGGCCGCAAGGCUG